RNAcentral lists this long non-coding RNA (1723 nucleotides) under Gallus gallus (chicken). RNAcentral describes it as "long non-coding RNA NONGGAT005825". Lineage: Eukaryota; Metazoa; Chordata; Aves; Galliformes; Phasianidae. The record is from RNAcentral.
CUUCUCAGAAAAAUAACUACUUCAUCACUGUUAUCUGUGGGAGUCUGAGCUGGUCUGAGGCCAGCAAAGGUCACCUUCAGAGUUCCUGGAAUAAAAAACAGCAACAAAACAACAGAAUCUUGAACUGGCAAUGUGUAAAUGAUGAGAGGAACAGGAAAUCUUCGAUGUUGCAGGAUGUAUUUGCAUGGAGCAUUUGCCUCUCUGCUAACCCAGGGUGAGGGCUGCCACCUAAUUAAAUAAUCUUCUGUCCUGACCCUUCAAAGGCUGUAAGCAGCUUUUCCCAGCAAAGCAGUUUGCAGUGCCAUCAUGUGUGUGAAAUGGAAUAAGUUGUUAGAGCUUUCAAGGAAGAUGUAAUGCAGCACAAUCAGACAUAUCCAUGCAAAUGAACAUUCAAGGCCCUCUCAGCUCAGGACGUGGGACUACACUGAGGUGUCAACUCUCUGCUGCCCUCUGUGCCUUUCCAUGCUGGGCUCCUGCUGCAAAGAGGACCACCUACCUGCAUGUUGACCUGGAUGGGCUGUCUCUCCCCACUCUUGGUGUGGGGCACCCCUUCUGUGUCGUAGAUCCCUGUGUAAGAGGCCACUUGUGCAUCCCUCGAUUUCUCUUCCAGUGGGACAUUGACACCCCCGAUGCCCAUCGUCCUGCAAAGAGAUGGGAUGCAUCCUUUCAGCAGCCCUGCAGGCCCCCUUCCUAGCAGCAUGGAGCCAGCAGCUUGAUGGUGCGGUUCUGGCCGAAACGCUGCCCGUCCACCUUGAAGUACACCGCCCCGUCGUUGGGCUGGAUUUUGAGGGCGACGCUGAUUUUCACGAGGCUGGGGAUGUCAACCAUCGCGCGGCUGCGGGGUCUGCGCCCGUCUCGCCCCCUCCACGGAAGGCGGCCAGCAGAGGAGACCGAGACGGCGAGGGAGAGGAAGAGGAGGAGGGAGGAGGAAGAGGAGGGGCUGCCGGAUCCGAGCCAGCCCAGCCCUUCCCAAAAGCAGCAGAUGAUAUAUUUGUUUUUCCCUCCCCCGCUAAUCACGGCGCAGCAUCUGUACUGCGGAUCUUCCCUCCAUCUCCCUGUUUGGGGGACAUUUGCAGCUGCUCAAAUCGACGCGGGUUUCCAGGGAGUUAAUCCGGCCUCGGUUAUGGCAGCCUUAAUCCCGCCGUCAUUCCCGGGCCGGGCAGGGCAGGGCAGGGCGGUUCAGCACCAUGGGCGCGGACAGCAGCGCAGCUCUCAGCGGUGCAAUCGGGCGCGAUUUCUUCUGGCAUCUUCCGUUACCGCCUUAUCCCAACUCUCAUAUUAUCGCAGGAAAAAAACCCAACCAGACAACAGCAACAACAAAAGACAAACAAAAAACCAUAAUGUACCAUUUCUCUAAAAAGAAAGAUCUUUGAAACUGGAAGUUGUUACUUCCAGUUCUCAGCUCUCCGCCCAUCUCAUUCCAGAACGUUUGCAGAAAUUACUUUUCACCCAGGAGCAGAAGAUUUAGGCAUCCUUUCCACUCUUUUGCAUUUAUUCUUUUAAAACUGCAACGUUGGCACAGUUGGGACAGGAUUUGGGCCAAAAAACCUGUAUUUUUAUGUAAUACUGCUAAGUCAAAUGGAACAUCUGACAUUACCCAGCUGCUUUUCUUUCUGUGUGCAUGUUAUCAGUCUAUUAAUUUAAUUUUGAACAGUAAACAAAAGAAUACAUGUUGCUGAAAACUCGUGCAAUGUAAAUCUCACUAUAUUUGCCUUAAUUACGU